GACUUCUGGUUUAAUGCACCUGGCCCGCGGCCCACAAGGCGUGUGAGUGCCGGCGCGUUUAUCAUCCUUCCAGCAACGGCUACCCUUAACUGGGCGGCUGGAACUGGAUCUUUUACUUUGAAAAAAUUAGAGUGUUUAAAGCAGGCGUUUGCUCUGAAUACAUUAGCAUGGAAUAAUAAUCUAGGACUUCGGUUCUAUUUUGUUGGUUUCUAUAACUGAAGUAAUGAUUGAUAGGGAUAGUUGGGGGUGCUAGUAUUGGCCGGUCAGAGGUGAAAUUCUUGGAUUCGGUCAAGACUAACUUAUGCGAAAGCAUU
Molecule: ribosomal RNA, 314 nt
Filed under: uncultured Paracercomonas
Lineage: Eukaryota; Cercozoa; Cercomonadida; Cercomonadidae
Description: SSU rRNA
Rfam family: Eukaryotic small subunit ribosomal RNA (bases 95-314)
Source: RNAcentral